AAUUACUUGUAUUUUUUACAGUAUUUAUGAAAAGUUAAUAUCCUUCCUAAAAAUUCAAGAAAAUGGUACAAAUUAUCCACCGAGUUUAUUUGAUCCAGAUGCCUGGGCCAAAGAACCAAGUUAUGAAGCUCUAGCAAAAACUCAAAAGGAGGCUUAUGAGAAAAAAGAAAAAGAGAGAGCUAAAAGGACACAGAUUGAGUUUCUGUCAGGAACAAAAAAGCCUGUAAUYCCUGCUACAGUUGCAGCUACUGGUGAUGAAAC
Exaiptasia diaphana is the source of this 261-nucleotide long non-coding RNA. RefSeq lists it as uncharacterized. The transcript has 5 exons. The record is from RefSeq and is a predicted model, not a curated record. NCBI's taxonomy places the organism in Eukaryota, Metazoa, Cnidaria, Anthozoa, Actiniaria, Aiptasiidae.